This 836-nucleotide ribosomal RNA is filed under the name uncultured bacterium. Its description in RNAcentral is "bacterial SSU rRNA". It matches the Rfam family "Bacterial small subunit ribosomal RNA", at positions 8 to 814 of the family's 1533-position model. The record is from RNAcentral.
AGAGUUUGAUCCUGGCUCAGGACGAACGCUGGCGGCGUGCCUAAUACAUGCAAGUCGAACGCUUCUUUUUCCACCGGAGCUUGCUCCAUCGGAAAAAGAGGAGUGGCGAACGGGUGAGUAACACGUGGGUAACCUGCCCAUCAGAAGGGGAUAACACUUGGAAACAGGUGCUAAUACCGUAUAACAAUCGAAACCGCAUGGUUUUGAUUUGAAAGGCGCUUUCGGGUGUCGCUGAUGGAUGGACCCGCGGUGCAUUAGCUAGUUGGUGAGGUAACGGCUCACCAAGGCGACGAUGCAUAGCCGACCUGAGAGGGUGAUCGGCCACAUUGGGACUGAGACACGGCCCAAACUCCUACGGGAGGCAGCAGUAGGGAAUCUUCGGCAAUGGACGAAAGUCUGACCGAGCAACGCCGCGUGAGUGAAGAAGGUUUUCGGAUCGUAAAACUCUGUUGUUAGAGAAGAACAAGGAUGAGAGUAACUGUUCAUCCCUUGACGGUAUCUAACCAGAAAGCCACGGCUAACUACGUGCCAGCAGCCGCGGUAAUACGUAGGUGGCAAGCGUUGUCCGGAUUUAUUGGGCGUAAAGCGAGCGCAGGCGGUUUCUUAAGUCUGAUGUGAAAGCCCCCGGCUCAACCGGGGGAGGGUCAUUGGAGACUGGGAGACUUGAGUGCAGAAGAGGAGAGUGGAAUUCCAUGUGUAGCGGUGAAAUGCGUAGAUAUAUGGAGGAACACCAGUGGCGAAGGCGGCUCUCUGGUCUGUAACUGACGCUGAGGCUCGAAAGCGUGGGGAGCAAACAGGAUUAGAUACCCUGGUAGUCCACGCCGUAAACGAUGAGU